RNAcentral lists this ribosomal RNA (381 nucleotides) under uncultured bacterium. RNAcentral's name for it is "bacterial SSU rRNA". It matches the Rfam family "Bacterial small subunit ribosomal RNA", at positions 30 to 414 of the family's 1533-position model. The record is from RNAcentral.
AUUGAACGCUGGCGGCAUGCUUUACACAUGCAAGUCGAACGGGGUGGAGGGCAACUUCCAUUCAGUGGCGAACGGGUGAGUAAUGCAUCGGAACGUGCCUCGUAGUGGGGGAUAACUCGGCGAAAGCCGUGCUAAUACCGCAUAUGCUCUACGGAGGAAAGUGGGGGAUCCGCAAGGACCUCACGCUAUGAGAGCGGCCGAUGUCCGAUUAGCUUGUUGGUGGGGAAUGGCCCACCAAGGCGACGAUCGGUAGCUGGUCUGAGAGGAUGAUCAGCCACACUGGGACUGAGACACGGCCCAGACUCCUACGGGAGGCAGCAGUGGGGAAUUUUGGACAAUGGGGGCAACCCUGAUCCAGCCAUGCCGCGUGCGGGAAGAAGG